UCUCCGUUGGUGAACCAGCGGAGGGAUCAUUACAGAGUGUAAAAACUCCCCAACCCGUGUGAACCUACCAUCGUUGCCUCGGCGGGACAGGGCGCGCCGCUCGCGGCGUCCCCUCCCCGCCAGAGGACCCAAAUUCUUGGUUUUCCAUUUGGCUUCUUUCUGAGUGGCGCAAGCAAAAAAAUCAAAUCAAAACUUUCAACAACGGAUCUCUUGGUUCUGGCAUCGAUGAAGAACGCAGC
Molecule: unclassified non-coding RNA, 239 nt
Filed under: uncultured fungus
Lineage: Eukaryota; Fungi
Description: sequence contains ITS1, 5.8S rRNA gene
Rfam family: 5.8S ribosomal RNA (bases 191-239)
Source: RNAcentral